CUUCUUCAAUCUGUUGAGGACAAACGAAAUGGAUAUGCGAGCCCACGCCGCCGGCCGUGACUAUCUGCCCUUCUCCCGCGAUAACUUCCGUACCGGGCCCGAUAAUAAUGGUUACAUUGGCCUGGGUAUCGGGAUUGCCCGCUUUGCCGAUAGCGGCAAUGCGCCCAUCCUUGAUGCCGAUGUCGGCUUUGACGAUCCCCCAGUUAUCGACAAUCAGCGCAUUGCUAAUGACGGUGUCGACAGAUUCGCCGCAGCCGCAUUGGCUUUGACCCAUACCGUCGCGUAU
RNAcentral lists this small RNA (286 nucleotides) under Candidatus Methylobacter favarea. RNAcentral describes it as "5' ureB small RNA". It matches the Rfam family "5' ureB small RNA". Lineage: Bacteria; Pseudomonadati; Pseudomonadota; Gammaproteobacteria; Methylococcales; Methylococcaceae. The record is from Rfam by way of RNAcentral.